This 497-nucleotide ribosomal RNA is filed under the name uncultured bacterium. RNAcentral describes it as "partial 16S ribosomal RNA". It matches the Rfam family "Bacterial small subunit ribosomal RNA", at positions 28 to 507 of the family's 1533-position model. The record is from RNAcentral.
GAUGAACGCUGGCGGCGUGCCUAAUACAUGCAAGUCGAGCGAACAGACGAGGAGCUUGCUCCUCUGACGUUAGCGGCGGACGGGUGAGUAACACGUGGAUAACCUACCUAUAAGACUGGGAUAACUUCGGGAAACCGGAGCUAAUACCGGAUAAUAUAUUGAACCGCAUGGUUCAAUAGUGAAAGACGGUUUUGCUGUCACUUAUAGAUGGAUCCGCGCCACAUUAGCUAGUUGGUAAGGUAACGGCUUACCAAGGCGACGAUGCGUAGCCGACCUGAGAGGGUGAUCGGCCACACUGAAACUGAGACACGGUCCAGACUCCUACGGGAGGCAGCAGUAGGGAAUCUUCCGCAAUGGGCGAAAGCCUGACGGAGCAACGCCGCGUGAGUGAUGAAGGUCUUCGGAUCGUAAAACUCUGUUAUUAGGGAAGAACAAAUGUGUAAGUAACUAUGCACGUCUUGACGGUACCUAAUCAGAAAGCCACGGCUAACUACGUG